Molecule: ribosomal RNA, 484 nt
Filed under: uncultured bacterium
Lineage: Bacteria
Description: partial 16S ribosomal RNA
Rfam family: Bacterial small subunit ribosomal RNA
Source: RNAcentral
GAUGAACGCUGGCGGCGUGCUUAACACAUGCAAGUCGAACGGUGAAGCAGGAGCUUGCUCUUGUGGAUCAGUGGCGAACGGGUGAGUAACACGUGAGCAACCUGCCCCUGACUCUGGGAUAAGCGCUGGACACGGCGUCUAAUACUGGCUAUGUCAUGUGACCGCAUGGUCUGCAUCUGGAAAGAACUUCGGUGGGGGAUGGGCUCGCGGCCUAUCAGAUUGUAGGUGCGGUAAUGGCUCACCAAGGCGUCGACGGGUAGUCGGCCUGGGAGGGGGACCGGCCACACUGGGACUGAGACACGGCCCAGACUCCUACGGGAGGCAGCAGUGGGGAAUAUUGCACAAUGGGCGGAAGCCUGAUGCAGCAACGCCGCGUGAGGGAUGACGGCCUUCGGGUUGUAAACCUCUUUUAGCAGGGAAGAAGCGAAAGUGACGGUACCUGCAGAAAAAGCACCGGCUAACUACGUGCCAGCCGCCGCGGUAA